Molecule: long non-coding RNA, 3683 nt
Filed under: Sitophilus oryzae (rice weevil)
Lineage: Eukaryota; Metazoa; Arthropoda; Insecta; Coleoptera; Curculionidae
Description: uncharacterized LOC115888830
Source: RNAcentral
GAGACAACAGCUAAGAAAUAUAUUUAAAUAUACCCUUUCCAGACAAGAAAUAAAUAAAUAAAACCCUUUCGAGUUAACAACCAGAACAUCCAUUACUUUAUAUAUAAACCUGCAGAUAUAUAACAGAUAUAUAAAAUAAAAGAAAAUACAGGUACGUAUUCAAGCUAUUGCACUGGAACUGCGAACCCUGAUUGAGAGAGAAGUUGUGACCUAUGUAGCUUAAGCGGUAAGUACGUCGGGAUCAUUACAAGAUAGUUAGUUGCAGAGUUAACAGUGAGUAGUUAAUCGUCAGUAGUUUAGAAGACAGCAGUCAGCCCGUCAGAUAAGAAGACGCUGUUGCAAGUACUCCUUAAGUCUUGGCAUUUCCUGAAAUUGUUCUGAUAUUAGGGGAGGUUCUCAAGGUUAAGAUUUUCUUAUAAAUGGAUAAGUUUAAUAUAGAAUAUAACAAGAAUAAAACUUGAAGUGUGGUGGUGAAGUACUGUUUAAAGUUUAGUAGUGUGUGAAUUUUUUUGAAUUAAAUGAGAAAAUGGAUCUAUUCCAAAGACUCUACGAAUUCUUCUCGAAUCGACACCAUCCAGAAGAAACGGUGGAAAAAAGACUUAACAUAAUGGAACAAAGAGACGUCAAUAAUGCCGAAGGUUUAGAUUUUGAAGAUGUGGAAGAUGAAAGCGACGAAGGAUUCGAAGAUAAUCGGAUUCGCACAUAUCCAAUACGGAAAAUUACAUUGGAGUUUCUGAAUACUGACAAUCAUUGGAAUCCGGAGUUUUUUGUAUCCAUAAACACUAUGUGUUAAUGAUGAUGCAGUAUGCAAACAAUAUGAUUCGAGGUGUGAAAUUGUGUGGGGAAUGUUACUAUCGUCACCAGUUGCAGGUUCCGUAUGGGUCACAUAAACAUGUAACCUCACAUUUCACCACGAGACUACCACCAGAAAAUGUAAAUUCGCAUAAUGCUGGUGGUAGAUGUAUGGUUUGUAACCAUAACUUAUAUAUUUUAAUGCAUCCUAAUUGUUGCUAUAUUUGCAAUGGGAAGAAUUUUUCAACGGAAAUAUAGUAACAUAAAGGAUGCAUUAUUUUAUUUUUAGUGUAAUUUAGUGUUAAUAAAUUAGUAUUUUAUUUUAUAUUUAUAUACUAGUAUGGUAUUUAUACGUAUGGUUUUGCAAUGUCACAGUAUCUUCCAACAAGUGAUUUUACAUGGCUCCCCGAAAGAGAAAUAAAAAGUCUAGAUAUUUUGUCUAUUUCUUAUACCUCUAGUAAAGAACAUAUUCUAGACGCUGAUUUAGAAUAUCCUAAAAGUCUCCACGACACUCUACAACAAAACAAACACAAAAUCUACAAAAGUGAUACCAAAUUUAAACAAUAAAGCAAAAUAUUUUAUUCACUACCAAUUACUAAAACAACGCUUUUCAAAAUGGACUCAAGUUGACUAAAAUUCGUAGAGUUAGUGUAUCGGUAUUUCUUCAAUCGUCCUAGACCUCUAGAAGUGGUUCUAAAUAGGUUUGAUGUCAUGGAGAGACGGGAUAACCACGUUGAUUUAGAUAACUCGGACAUGGCUGAAACCGAUGAAUCGGGAAUAGAGGAGGACUGUACGGAGAUGGGUAUCUGCCCACGAGAACUUGGAAGAAAGAGUUCUAUGUGUUCACAAACAUUACGUGAGUGUUGAGAUGAUUAUUCAGGGACAAAAUGGUGUGACUACAACUCAACAAAAACAAUUAUGUUAGAGUGUUAUUUUGUCGCUUUGUCGCCACUGAUCGAAAAUUUUAGUUCUGAUGAGGAAGAACCAUCACAAAAUCCAAUUUCAUAUCCAAACCAUUUUUCAUCAUUACCAAAAAAAAACAAAAAUUCAAAAACAAAUUGACAGAUGAUUAUUUAGGGACAAAAUGGUGUGACUGCAACUCAACAAAAACAAUUAUGUGGUGAGUGCUAUUUUGUCCAUGAGUCACAUGUGGAUGGUGGGUCACAUCGUCACAUAUCUUCGCAUUGUACCACAGAAUUAGAUACUGAAAAUAUGGGUUCGUUUUUAGAACACAGCAAAUGUUUUGUGUGUAACACGAACCUAUACAUUUUAAUGCAUCCAUCUUGUUGUCUUCAGUGCAAUGGAAAAAACACUUUCAUUAAUAUAAACUAAUUUUAAUAUUUAUUAAACUGUACCUUAAUAUCUUAUCUUUCCAUAUAUUUUAAGUUUUAAUUUUAUUUAGUGUAGUUAAUUUUAUUAGUGCUGUGAAAAUGAAUUUCUUUCAAAUAGUAUAUCGGUAUUUCUUCAAUCGUCCUAGAUCAAUAGAACAGGUUCUAAAUAGAGAAAAUUAGUAUUGAUAAAAUAAAUAGACUUUGUUUGAAUUUGUGCCCCUUUCGUAUCUUGCAUUAGUAAUUAACCCUCAUCUCUUUAUAGAUAAAUGGUGCAACGAUUUCUAAACCCCUCAUUAUUAAUAAACCCAUGCAAAUGUAUUUUGCAUCAUUAUUGUGUAAGAGAUUGUUCGAGUUAUGGGGAAACCUGAAAUACAAAUUUUAAAGCGUAAAGUUAUGGAAAAUAUUAAUAUAAUACAACAAGUAAUUGUAACGAAGAACGGUGUGCAAAUAAUGGAUUACGACCAAAAAUACGAUGACAUUUCACCAGUGGAUUCACCAAGUCAAGUUGAAUCAAACAUACAAUAUGAUGAAAAAGUUUUAAAUGAGUUAAUAAAUUCUUUAAAUCAAAUAGAAAGUGAAAGUGUAAACCAAGUGCAACCGGAUUUACAACAAUGUCAAGAUUUGGAUAUGUUAGAAAUGCCUACGGAAAGUGCUGAGCAAGAAAUUCAACCGGAUUUACGGCAUUCUCAAGAUUUGUCACAAAGUGUUAUAUUAUAAAAUAAUAAACAUAAUGUGAAACAACUUUUUAUAAAACGUGACCUUGAAAUUACGAACAAAAAUACGAUGAUAUUUCACCAGUGGAUUCACCAAGUCAAGUUGAAUCAAACAUACAAUAUGAUAAAAAAAUUUUAAAUGAGUUAAUAAAUUCUUUAAAUCAAAUAGAAAGUGAAAGUGUAAACCAAGUGCAACCGGAUUUACAACAAUGUCAAGAUUUGGAUAUGUUAGAAAUGCAUACGGAAAGUGCUGAGCAAGAAAUUUAACCGGAUUUACGGCAUUCUCAAGAUUUGUCACAAAGUGUUAUAUUAUAAAAUAAUAAACAGAUAAUGUGAAACAACUUUUUAUAAAACGUGACCUUGAAAUUACGAACAAAAAUACGAUGAUAUUUCACCAGUGGAUUCACCAAGUCAAGUUGAAUGAAACAUACAAUAUGAUGAAAAAUUUUUAAAUGAGUUAAUAAAUUCUUUAAAUCAAAUAGAAAGUGAAAGUGUAAACCAAGUGCAACCGGAUUUACAACACUGUCAAGAUUUGGAUAUGUUAGAAAUGCAUACGGAAAGUGCUGAGCAAGAAAUUCAACCGGAUUUACGGCAUUCUCAAGAUUUGUCGCAAAGUGUUAUAUUAUAAAAUAAUAAACACAUAAUGUGAAACAACUUUUUAUAAAACGUGACCUUGAAAUUACGAACAAAAAUACGAUGAUAUUUCACCAGUGGAUUCACCAAGUCAAGUUGAAUCAAACAUACAACAUGAUGAAAAAUUUUUAAAUGAGUUAAUAAAUUCUUUAAAUCAAAUAGAAAGUGAAAGUGUAAACCAAGUGCAACCGGAUUUACAACAAUGUCAAGAUUU